This 1194-nucleotide ribosomal RNA is filed under the name Bacillus safensis. Its description in RNAcentral is "bacterial SSU rRNA". It matches the Rfam family "Bacterial small subunit ribosomal RNA", at positions 140 to 1321 of the family's 1533-position model. Lineage: Bacteria; Bacillati; Bacillota; Bacilli; Caryophanales; Bacillaceae. The record is from RNAcentral.
GGGAUAACUCCGGGAAACCGGAGCUAAUACCGGAUAGUUCCUUGAACCGCAUGGUUCAAGGAUGAAAGACGGUUUCGGCUGUCACUUACAGAUGGACCCGCGGCGCAUUAGCUAGUUGGUGGGGUAAUGGCUCACCAAGGCGACGAUGCGUAGCCGACCUGAGAGGGUGAUCGGCCACACUGGGACUGAGACACGGCCCAGACUCCUACGGGAGGCAGCAGUAGGGAAUCUUCCGCAAUGGACGAAAGUCUGACGGAGCAACGCCGCGUGAGUGAUGAAGGUUUUCGGAUCGUAAAGCUCUGUUGUUAGGGAAGAACAAGUGCGAGAGUAACUGCUCGCACCUUGACGGUACCUAACCAGAAAGCCACGGCUAACUACGUGCCAGCAGCCGCGGUAAUACGUAGGUGGCAAGCGUUGUCCGGAAUUAUUGGGCGUAAAGGGCUCGCAGGCGGUUUCUUAAGUCUGAUGUGAAAGCCCCCGGCUCAACCGGGGAGGGUCAUUGGAAACUGGGAAACUUGAGUGCAGAAGAGGAGAGUGGAAUUCCACGUGUAGCGGUGAAAUGCGUAGAGAUGUGGAGGAACACCAGUGGCGAAGGCGACUCUCUGGUCUGUAACUGACGCUGAGGAGCGAAAGCGUGGGGAGCGAACAGGAUUAGAUACCCUGGUAGUCCACGCCGUAAACGAUGAGUGCUAAGUGUUAGGGGGUUUCCGCCCCUUAGUGCUGCAGCUAACGCAUUAAGCACUCCGCCUGGGGAGUACGGUCGCAAGACUGAAACUCAAAGGAAUUGACGGGGGCCCGCACAAGCGGUGGAGCAUGUGGUUUAAUUCGAAGCAACGCGAAGAACCUUACCAGGUCUUGACAUCCUCUGACAACCCUAGAGAUAGGGCUUUCCCUUCGGGGACAGAGUGACAGGUGGUGCAUGGUUGUCGUCAGCUCGUGUCGUGAGAUGUUGGGUUAAGUCCCGCAACGAGCGCAACCCUUGAUCUUAGUUGCCAGCAUUCAGUUGGGCACUCUAAGGUGACUGCCGGUGACAAACCGGAGGAAGGUGGGGAUGACGUCAAAUCAUCAUGCCCCUUAUGACCUGGGCUACACACGUGCUACAAUGGACAGAACAAAGGGCUGCAAGACCGCAAGGUUUAGCCAAUCCCAUAAAUCUGUUCUCAGUUCGGAUCGCAGUCUGCAACUCGACUGCGU